Dioscorea cayenensis subsp. rotundata (Guinea yam) is the source of this 1655-nucleotide long non-coding RNA. RefSeq lists it as uncharacterized. The transcript has 6 exons. NCBI's taxonomy places the organism in Eukaryota, Viridiplantae, Streptophyta, Magnoliopsida, Dioscoreales, Dioscoreaceae. The record is from RefSeq and is a predicted model, not a curated record.
UCACAUCAUUUACAAAAGAAGGUAAAUAACAAAGGCAAGGUUGAAGGUUCAAUUUGUAAUGCGUACUUAAUUAAAGAAGCAUCAACUUUUUGUUCAUAUUACUUUGAGCCUCAUGUGAACACAAAGUUAAGAAAAGUACCUCGUAAUGUUGAUGGAGGAGAGGUUGAAACAUCUGAAGGUCUUUUAUCAAUAUUCAGUUUUCCUGGUCGACCAUAUGGGCAAGCAAAAUCAUGACGUUUGACUGAUAAAGAGUACCAUCAAGCUCAAACUUAUGUCUUACUAAAUUAUGAUGAGGUUCAACAAUAUGUCAAGAUAUUUGUGGAAGAGGUGGUGGAAAAUACACCUAAUAUAACUGAUGCACAAGUUGAUGAUUAAUUGGAAAAUGAAUUUACUAACUGAUUUAAGAUUUAUAUAUGGCUAGAUGUAAAGAAAGGACUAGAUUAAGAGGAGGAAGGAGUGGAGGCCGCACUUCUCAUGCUCAUUCAAUCAUUGAAGGAUCAAGCAAUGCUGAUAGUGUACCAUUUUCAAAUGCCACUAUUCCAAGUGUUGAGGAAAAAAUGAAUGGUAUUGAAUCUCAACAACCGAAUCAAAAUGUUGUAGCUAUUAGUGAUACUCAAGCAAACUAUGAUAGCACACAAGAUGCUUCAACCAUUGUUGGGAGGUUACAUAUCACAGUUGUGAAUUGAUUAAGCACUUUAUUUGGGAUUCCUCACUAGAGGCACAAAUAAAGGAAGCUUGGAUUUUGAAAGCCUCACAAUGAUAUAGUGAUUUUUUGAGGGAUAUAAGGGACGCAACAACAAAGCCAGAGUAUCUAAGUGAGGAGGAGUACAAGCAUUGGAAAGCUGUCUGGGAUAGACCUACAUUUAUGAAGAAAAAAGAGAUAAAUUCUAAAAAACAACGUGGUAUUGCUGGGCCAUCAUGCUAUACAGGAGGGUCAAAAUCUAAUGUUGAGCAGGGGAAGAAGCUUGAAUCUAAAUUGGGUCGAAAGCCACUCCACAUGAUCUUUUUUUGCAUACUCAUACCACGAAACAUGAUGGGGAAACUUUUGUAGAUCUCAAGUCAAAGACAAUCAAUGAUAAGAUGUUGACUUUGAAACAACAUGCAAUUUCUAUAGAAUCUGUAUCAACAAACUCAGGAGCUACUACAGUAGAUGAAUUGGCUCUUUAUAUUAAAGCUGUUGGUGGAGAGAAGAAAAGAAAAGUCUAUGCUCUUGGUUCUCAAGCAUCUUCCCAUUAUGGAUGUUCAAAUUCAAAUGUCAUUAACUCAAAUGCAACAUCUACUAUGAAAAAUAAUGAAGAUUUACAAAAUUAGUUAGCAUAUGUCCGUAAUCAACUACAAAUCCAACAAUAGCGGCAUCAACAAGAGCGUCAAGAAACUCAACAAGAGCUUCAGCAAACUCGAGAAGAGGUGGUUGAAAUGAGGAGGAUGUUACAAUUACUUAUAUCUCAAAAUCAAGCACCUUCUCAAAUAAAUCAAUCAGGUCAUGAUGAAGAUGUUGAUCCUACUCCACCAACUUAGUAGUUAAUGUUCUUAUCUUGUGACAUAUUUCUCAUAUUUGUUGCUUCCUUAUGAUACUUUUGAGUUUUAGUACUUGCCACUUAUAUUAGCUAUAUGUGCUUGAAGCUAUUUUGAAUAUGAAUUAUGUUGUUUUUUAA